CGGGAUGUGGCGCAGCUUGGUAGCGCAUCCGCUUUGGGAGCGGAGGGUCGCAGGUUCGAAUCCUGUCAUCCCGA
Molecule: transfer RNA, 74 nt
Organism: Rhodococcus rhodnii LMG 5362
Lineage: Bacteria; Bacillati; Actinomycetota; Actinomycetes; Mycobacteriales; Nocardiaceae
Rfam family: tRNA
About the family: Transfer RNA (tRNA) molecules are approximately 80 nucleotides in length. Their secondary structure includes four short double-helical elements and three loops (D, anti-codon, and T loops).
Source: Rfam